RNAcentral lists this transfer RNA (540 nucleotides) under uncultured cyanobacterium. Its description in RNAcentral is "partial 16S-23S ribosomal RNA intergenic spacer". The stretch from base 212 to 284 matches the Rfam family "tRNA". Lineage: Bacteria; Bacillati; Cyanobacteriota. The record is from RNAcentral.
CAGGGAGACAACAAAAUGUUUAAUAUUAUUAUUUUGUCACCUUAGGUCGAUCGGUAUCUCACGUUCUUAAUUUAUUAAGAAUUUCAUUUCCUAAGUUUUUCUAGGUCACACCCAUUAUUUUUCCUGGGCCAUUAGCCCAGGUGGUUAGAGCGCACCCCUGAUAAGGGUGAGGUCCCUGGUUCAAGUCCAGGAUGGCCCAUAUCUCUAUGUUGGGGGUAUAGCUCAGUUGGUAGAGCGCCUGCUUUGCAAGCAGGAUGUCAGCGGUUCGAGUCCGCUUACCUCCACUGAUUACCACCUCUUCCAUAAUCGGUAGAAAGGAAAUGUUUUGAGUUGUGAUCAAAUUCUGAACGAAUCUAGCUUCCUAAUGAAAUUAUUAAGAUGCUGGACUCAUUGAAUUAAUUUCAUUGUUUUCAGAGAACCUUGACAACUGCAUAGAUUAUUUUUAAAGACAAUAAGCAUCUUUAAUGAUGCAGAUUUAUUAUUUGUGCGAAUGCAUUAAUAACAAUUCUAUUAAGCUGAUGCUUCAAUUAUGAAGUUAUU